RNAcentral lists this long non-coding RNA (1398 nucleotides) under Mytilus galloprovincialis (Mediterranean mussel). The record is from RNAcentral. Lineage: Eukaryota; Metazoa; Mollusca; Bivalvia; Mytilida; Mytilidae.
ACUUGAAAAAGAAAUAAAACAAGAUCUUGAGAAAAAAGAGGGCCAAUGCAAGAAGAGUAUUCAGAGUAUUUUAUCAUCAGUUGAAGAAAAGAAAAAAAUUAUAACAGAAUAUCAGACCAAUCUUCAAAACAUCAAACAAAAUGCGUCUGGUCUUCAAACAUUUCUUCUAAUGAGAAAUAUUGAGAUGAAAGUUUUUGAAAAUGAACAAUAUUUACAAUCCUUGGUUGAAACUGACCAAUUUGAACCAGUUGAACUCGUUUUUAAAGUAGAACCACGGGUGCUUAGUGUUUUAGACUGUUUGAAGAAUUUUGGAUCAAUUGAAAUAAAAAAGACGUCGAGUAGCAUUCGUUUAAUCAGAGAGAAAGAUAAACAAGCACAGUUGCAACUAACACCAACGAAGACCAUAAACGAUGUUAAGAUAAUUCUACAAAAGAAAAUUACGACAAAUGGAGAGAUUAUAAGGGGUUGUUGCAUGUCAGUUAAUAGCGAAUAUUUCUUCACUGAUCACUACAUAAGAAAAACGCUUUCUGUCAUGUCGGCAGAUGGAACAUUUAGAUAUCAAAUAUUUGCUUGAUCCUUGUUAUGGGUUUAACCUAACACUUAUUGAUGAGAAAACUAUCGCUAUUACAUCUGGAGGAGCCGAUGAUCACAUCGGAAUUGACAUAAUUAACAUCGAGAGCCGGAAGAAAAUAAAGUUCAUCAGCCUUCCUGGUCGUCCAUGGGGAAUAACACGUGAUCACGACUCGGUGUAUGUCUGUGUUGAAGCCCGUGGUAUAUAUAAAGUAAACACUGUGGAUUAUACUACCUCUUAUAUGAUCAGUUGUAACUUAUCGUAUUAUUCCUACGUAUCUGUAUUCGCCGACAAGAUAUACUACACUGACUGGACAGAUAACAGUGUAGUUUGUUGUGACUGUAGUGGAUCAAGCGUUUGGAUGUUUAAAGAUGAAUCAGUGUUGAUGUCACCGAGAGGCAUCACUGCUGAUAAUGAUGGUAACGUGUUCGUUGUCGGAGAGAAUUCGUCGAAUGUUGUCAUUAUAUCAAAUGAUGGAAAACUCCAAAGACAAAUCCUGACAAACAAAGAUGGUCUAUAUGAACCGUCAGCUAUUUUCUUUGAUAAACAUACAGAGAAACUUCUUGUUGCGAACAACAAACAAUCUGCUUUCCUUUACAAUGUUACAUGACAUCAAAAUAAUUAAUAUUACAAUUCACCUUAUUUUGUCUUUAUCCUACAUAAUGUUAAAUCAGUGAACUGUUUGGCUUUUGAUAAAGAAUAACAAAUAACAGUUCUUAACAAAGUCUGAAGUUCAUGGAUAAUGAAUGCUUAAUGUUUCAAAAUAUUUGAACAUAUAUUGUAAAUCAAAAUUAAGAUAUAAACAAUAUGUCACUGGUUUUCAAUAG